CGCGUAGGCGGCUAAUCAAGUCAGAUGUGAAAGCCCCGGGCUCAACUCGGGAAUUGCAUCUGAAACUGAAUAGCUUGAGUUCUGGAGGGGAUGGUGGAAUUCCCAGUGUAGCGGUGAAAUGCGUAGAUAUUGGGAGGAACACCUGCGGCGAAGGCGGCCAUCUGGACAGUGACUGACGCUGAGGCGCGAAAGCUAGGGGAGCGAACGGGAUUAGAUACCCCGGUAGUCCUAGCCGUAAACGAUGGGCACUUGGUGUUGGGGGCAUUGAGUCCCUCGGUGCCGGAGCUAACGCGAUAAGUGCCCCGCCUGGGGAGUACGGUCGCAAGACUGAA
Molecule: ribosomal RNA, 332 nt
Filed under: uncultured bacterium
Lineage: Bacteria
Description: bacterial SSU rRNA
Rfam family: Bacterial small subunit ribosomal RNA
Source: RNAcentral